Molecule: ribosomal RNA, 500 nt
Filed under: uncultured bacterium
Lineage: Bacteria
Description: partial 16S ribosomal RNA
Rfam family: Bacterial small subunit ribosomal RNA
Source: RNAcentral
AUUGAACGCUGGCGGAAUGCUUUACACAUGCAAGUCGAACGGCAGCACGGACUUCGGUCUGGUGGCGAGUGGCGAACGGGUGAGUAAUGUAUCGGAACGUGCCCAGUCGUGGGGGAUAACGUAGUGAAAAUUACGCUAAUACCGCAUACGAUCUAUGGAUGAAAGCGGGGGAUCGCAAGACCUCGCGCGAUUGGAGCGGCCGAUAUCAGAUUAGGUAGUUGGUGGGGUAAAGGCCCACCAAGCCAACGAUCUGUAGCUGGUCUGAGGGGACGACCAGCCACACUGGAACUGAGACACGGUCCAGACUCCUACGGGAGGCAGCAGUGGGGAAUUUUGGACAAUGGGCGAAAGCCUGAUCCAGCCAUUCCGCGUGCAGGAUGAAGGCCCUCGGGUUGUAAACUGCUUUUGUACAGAACGAAAAGGUUUCUACUAAUACUAGGAGCUCACGACGGUACUGUAAGGAUAAGCACCGGCUAACUACGUGCCAGCCGCCACCGUAA